GGUUCCGUAGCUCAACCGGAUAGAGCAUGGGUUUUCUAAACCCAGGGUUACAGGUUCGAAUCCUGUUGAGGUCACAA
RNAcentral lists this transfer RNA (77 nucleotides) under Chryseobacterium bernardetii. RNAcentral describes it as "tRNA-Arg". It matches the Rfam family "tRNA". From Rfam's summary of the family: Transfer RNA (tRNA) molecules are approximately 80 nucleotides in length. Their secondary structure includes four short double-helical elements and three loops (D, anti-codon, and T loops). The record is from RNAcentral. Lineage: Bacteria; Pseudomonadati; Bacteroidota; Flavobacteriia; Flavobacteriales; Weeksellaceae.